RNAcentral lists this ribosomal RNA (251 nucleotides) under uncultured bacterium. RNAcentral's name for it is "partial 16S ribosomal RNA". It matches the Rfam family "Bacterial small subunit ribosomal RNA", at positions 524 to 776 of the family's 1533-position model. The record is from RNAcentral.
UACGGGAGGGGCAGUCUUGUCGGAAUUACUGGGCGUAAAGGGCUCGUAGGUGGCCAACUAAGUCAGACGUGAAAUCCCUCAGCUUAACUGGGGAACUGCGUCUGAUACUGGAUGGCUUGAGUUUGGGAGAGGGAUGCGGAAUUCCAGGUGUAGCGGUGAAAUGCGUAGAUAUCUGGAGGAACACCGGUGGCGAAGGCGGCAUCCUGGACCAACACUGACACUGAGGAGCGAAAGCCAGGGGAGCAAACGGG